Molecule: ribosomal RNA, 434 nt
Filed under: uncultured bacterium
Lineage: Bacteria
Description: bacterial SSU rRNA
Rfam family: Bacterial small subunit ribosomal RNA
Source: RNAcentral
UGGGGGAUAUUGCACAAUGGGGGAAACCCUGAUGCAGCGACGCCGCGUGAGGGAAGAAGGCCCUAUGGGUCGUAAACCUCUUUUGUCAGGGAACAAAAGCGAGUAUGUAUACUAGUCUGAGUGUACCUGAAGAAAAAGCAUCGGCUAACUCCGUGCCAGCAGCCGCGGUAAUACGGAGGAUGCGAGCGUUAUCCGGAUUUAUUGGGUUUAAAGGGUGCGUAGGCGGCGAUGCAAGUCAGCGGUAAAAGCCCGGGGCUCAACCCCGGCGAGCCGUUGAAACUGCAGUGCUAGAGAAGGCGAGAGGUACGCGGAAUGCGCAGUGUAGCGGUGAAAUGCUUAGAUAUUGCGCAGAACUCCGAUUGCGAAGGCAGCGUACUGGCGCCUGACUGACGCUGAGGCACGAAAGCGUGGGGAUCGAACAGGAUUAGAUACCC